CUCCAUAGUGAGUGUGUUCUCAUGAGAUAUGACAGUUUAAAAGUGUGUGGCAGUUCCCCCAUCUUGCUCUCUCUCCCGUCACCAGUUAUACACAAGAUGAAUGGAUUAACCACUGGAAGACCUGCACUACUACAAAUGUUAAAGAAAGUCCUUCCAAGAAAGAAAAAAGGCAACUUAAUGGAAACUUGUGUCUACCAAAUGGAAAGAAGAGCAAUGGGAAUCCUAACUACGAGUGUGAGAAAAAAAGUUGAAUGUGGUGAUGGGGAAAACACUGAAGUUCAAAAGAAGCGAAGACAAGAAGCUACUCAUGGCAGCAGCUUUUCCCAUAAAUCAAGAAAUGCUACAGAUUAUAAAUGAGAUGAGACUAUCAAGAAGAGACCUAAUAGGAGUGUGAAGACCAAAAAUUUAAAAGACGUGGUUAUAUACUUUGAGUAAACUCUAUAUAUAGGACAAUGUUAUUGUUUGGUUCUGUGUUCCUCACUCAAAUCUCACCUCAAAUUAUAAUCCCCAUGUGUCAAGGGCAGGACCAGGUGGAAGUAACUGGAUCAUGGGGGAAGUUUUCCUCAUGCUUUUCUCAUAGUAAGUGAGUUCUCAUAAGAUCUGAUUUUUUUAUAAGCAUAUGGCAUUUCCCCUCCUAGCAUUUUGCCUCCUGCUGCCUUGCAAAGACGGCAGUUGCUUCCCCUUUGCCUUCCGCCAUGACUGUAAGUUCCCUGAGUCCUCUCCAGCCAUGUGGAACUGUGGGUUAAUUAAAUCUCUUUCCUUAUAAAUUACCCAGUCUUGGGCAGUUCUUUAUAGCAGUGUGAAACUGGACUAAAAUAGAAAAUUGGUACCAGGAGAGUGAGGCACUGCUGUAAAGACAUCACUAUAAAGGCACCUGAAAAUGGAAGCAACUUUGGAACUAGCUAAUGGGCAGAGGUUGGAACCAUUUGCAGGGUUCAGAAGAAGACAUGAAGAUGUGGGAAAGUUUGGAAAUUCCUGGAGACUUGUUGAAUGCUUUGACGAAAAUGCUGAUACUGAUAUGGACAAUAAAUUUCAGGCUGAGAUGCUCUCAGAUACAAAUAAAGAACUUGUUGGGAACUGGAAUAAAGGUGACUAUUUGCUAUAUAUGCUUUAGCAAAGAGACUGGUGGCAUUUUGCCUCUGUCCUAGAGAUCUGUGGAGCUUUGAACAUGAGAAAGAUGAUUUAGAAUAUCUGGUGGAAGAAAUUUAUAUGCAGCAAAGUGUUCAAGAAGUGACUCGGGUGCUCUUAAAACCAUUCAGUUGUAUGCAUUCACAAAGAUAUGGUUUGGAAUUGGAACUUAUGUUUAAAAGGGAAGCAGAGAAUAAGAGUUCAGAAAAUUUGCAGCCUGAUGAUGCAAUAGAAAAGAAAAAUCUCAUUUUCUGGGGAGAAAUUCAAGCCUGCUGCAGAAAUUUGCGUAAGUAACAAGGAGACAAAUGUUAGUCACCAAGACAAUGGAGAAUAUGGCCUCAGUCAAUGUCGGAUGUCUUCACUGCAAGCCCUCCAAUCACAGGCCUGAAGGAUUGGAGAGAAAAAAUAAUUUUGUGGGCAAGGCCCAGGGACUUGCUGCUUUGUGCAGUCUCUGAACUUGGUGCCCUGCAUCCCAGCUGUGUCUAAUAGUGGCCAACAUACAGCUCAGGCCAUUGCUUUAGAGGGUGAAAGCCCCAAGCCAUGGUGUCUUACAUGUGGUUUUGGGCCUGCAGAUGCACAGAUGUCAAGAAUUGAGGUUUGAGAACCUCCACCUAGAUUUCAGAGGAUGUAUGGAAACUCUUGGAUGUCCAGGCAGAAGAGUACUACAGGGGCAGAGCUCUCCAUGGAGAACAUCUGCUAGGGCAGUGCAGAGUCCCCACUGGGGCGCUGACUAGUGGAGCUGUGAGAAGAAGGCCACCAACCUCCAGACCCCAGAAUGGUAGAUCCACCAACAUCUUGCAUCGUACACCUAGAAAAGUCACAGACGCUCAACAACACCUCAUGAAAGUAGCCAGGAGAGGCGCUGUAUCCUGCAAAGCCACAGAGGCAGAGCUGCCCAAGGCUGUGGUAUCCCACCUCCUACAUCAGUGUGAUUGGAUGUGAGACAUGUAGUCAAAUGAGGUCAUUUUGGAACUUUUAAGACUUAAUGACUGCUUUAUUGUAUUUUGGACUUGCAUGAGGCUUGUAGCCCCUUUGUUUUAGCCAGUUUAUCUCAUUUGGAAUGGGACUAUUUAUCCAAAGCCUGUACCCCAUUGUAUCUAGGAAGUAACUGACUUGCUUUGGAUUUUACAAGCUCAUAGGCAGAAGGGACUUCCCUUGUCUCAGAUGAGACUUUGGACUGUGGCCUUUUGAGUUAAUGUUAAAAUGAGUUAAGACUUUGAGGAACUGUUGGGGAGGCAUGAUUAGUUUUGAAAUGUAAAAAGACAUGAGAUUUGGGAGGGGCCAAGGACAGAAUAAUACGGUUUGGCUCUGUGUCCCCUUCCAAAUUUCACCUUUAAUUGUAAUCGCCAUAACCCCCACAUGUCAAUGGUGGAAACAGGUAGAGGUAAUUGGAUCGUGGAGGCAGUUUCUUCUAUGCUGUUAUUCAUGAUAGCGAAUGAGUUUUCAUGAGAUCUGAUGGUUUUAUAAGCAUCUGGCAUUUCUUCUGCUUGCACUUCUCAUUCCUGCCACCUUGUGAAGAAGGUGCUUUUCUUCCCAUUUGCGUUCAACCAUUAUUAUAAGUUUCCAGAGGCAAACCCAGCCACACAGAAGUGUGAGUCAAUUAAACCUCUUUUUUAAUAAAUUACCACUCUCAAACAGUUCUUUAUGGCAGUAUGAAGACAGACUAACACAGAAAGAUAUAGCUGUUUUGGAAACAUCAGAAGUACAGUUGUAGCAAUAAAUAAAAUAUGAAUAGAUUAACUUUCGUACACCUAUUUGUGUUGAAAGCACCAGGAGUCAUAGCCAACAAUCACUUUAAUAUUUCUCCAGCUAAUUCUUCUGAUUUAUUUUUAUGUUUGGUUAGCCAGUGACUUCCCCACUAGCUAAAAAAUAUUUUUAAAAGUAUGUAUGUGUUAAUAUAUCUUGACUACUUUUUAAUUUUCCAAUUAAAAAAUAAAUCACACUUUAAUCUCUGUGUCUUGAUUUUUCUCAUUUAAGAAGAGCUCAUUGACUUAGGGGCUACAUACUAUAUGACAAGUUACAUAAAUCACAAUUUUCUUAAAUAUUUCCCUAUUGAUGGUUACUCAGUUUUAUUUUUUUUAUUUUUGCCAUUAGUAACAGUGAAGAAAUUAAUGAUCUUGCAUUUAAAUUUUAAGUACAGGUGAUUGGCUUCUUUUUACAACAUUAAAGAGUUGUAAUUGACAUACAAUAAACUGUAAUUAUAUAGUAGG
RNAcentral lists this long non-coding RNA (3338 nucleotides) under Homo sapiens (human). RNAcentral's name for it is "uncharacterized LOC105377253, transcript variant 2 (LOC105377253)". Lineage: Eukaryota; Metazoa; Chordata; Mammalia; Primates; Hominidae. The record is from RNAcentral.